CGCUCUGCUUCGUGUGUCCAAAUCCCUCUCACGUGGAUUUGUUUGUCUUUUAACUCAACAUCCUGCUUUGUUUUACUUUCCAAGCAAAAUCUGUUGAGAUUCCUGAUUUGCAUAUUCUAACGAGUUCACCCUUAUUUGCUUCUCGUCUGUGUAGCUUGUGUAUUAGAAUGUGCAGGAGGUAUUCUAGAAGGCUUAAUGGUUUGCAUUCAAAAUGACGUUGUUUGUCCAAAUUUUUUUCUGUCCUUAUAAUUGAGAUGGAUUAAUCUUAUCUUUUCUUGAUGAUUUGAAGUUGUAAGAGUUGUCCAGCUGUUGCUUAAUAAAAUUUUGCAGAUUAGAAAAAAAAAAUCAAUCACUUGUAAUUCAGAUGUGGUCCCAAGUCUUUUUGUGCAGAAUUCAGAUGUGGUCCUGAGUCCUUUGAGAAGAAAUUGCCUCUCCUUUGGCCCAACCCACCCUCUAGUGGUUCUCCGAUCCCUGGGUUUUGCCACCUGUUGCUCUUCAUCUGGGGUCUUUAUCAUCAGUGCUCCUUCUGAGAGGUCAGAUGUUGUGCUGAUUUCUUAUCUGUUGCUUUGAGUUUGUAUGUGUUUGUUUUUUCCUAAGAGGACCUGAUUCACGAUGCUUCUGUCAUAGCACCUACAAGAUCUAAGGUGCUAAAUGCCUUAAUGCUAUUCUUUGUUACCUUGUAGCAGACUUAAUAAAACCACCGUUUGAGCAGUUGCACUGCACGUGCUAAUAUAGCUGUUAAUAGUUAGUGUGUUACUAAGGAGUCUGCAUGCACCUUCUUGCUCUGCCCUAGAAUUCCCUCUGACCGUGAGAGGGAGGCAGGGGCUAGGACUCAUCUGUGAACACUGGUUCCUGUGCACAUUUACCAAACUACCUGUUUGGUUUCUUUUUUUGGGGCGGGGGGGGUUAUGUGACAUUUUUUAAAUUUUUUAUUGUAUAUAAUGAUUUUUAUUUUUUUCCAUUAUAGCUGGUUUACAGUGUUCUGUCAGUUUUCCACUGUGCAGCAUGGCGACCCAGUUACACUUACGUGUACACAUUGGUUUCUUCAGAGAUAAAGAAAAUAGACGUGUCACUCAGGCUUUAGGAGACAGAGAACCAAAACACACUGUCAACUCUAACAAAUGCUAAUCAUUAGUUAAGUUUUAGAAAAGUCAUAGGACUAUAAAUCUGUGAUUUAAAUAGCAAUAGUCAUACAAACCUAACUGAUCUGAAUUUUGUAUGAGUCAAAAAAGAUCUCAUUUUACUAUGAAAGUUUGUGAAUUUCAAGUUAAUAUUCCUUAUAUUUUCAUCACUUAAACCAGGUAGUAAGGAGACCUGAUCAAAAAUAAGCCCCUUCCUUCCUCACCGCCCCCCCCCCCCCCCCNCCCCCCCCGCAAAAAAUCAAGGGACCUGUCUGUGCUGAGGGCCGAGAUAGAAGUGGGCUCGCCGUCUCCGCCAGCCCAGCCCCACGGUCAGCCUCGGGGCCAUUCAGUGUGAGAUGGUGUCUUCAGAAGCAAUUUGUUUUGAAAGUAUGAAAACUUGGCAAAUUCCUUUCCUUCUGCAGACUUAUUUGAAGGGGAUGCAUUCUGCUUUUAUUCUGGUGUUCAGUGUUCUCUUCCUGGUAGUGUUAAGAGAAUAGGAAAUCAAUUUAGCUCUCAUUCCCUGGCCCCCAAAGCUCACCACAGAAGAGAAAGGGCUGCCUCACGGGGUUUGCAUCGCGUGUUUGGAGAAUGCACGGCCAACUCUCCAGACUCCGUUAUAAAGAGGAUACCUUUUGCCUGCCUUCCCUUUCAGAAGAAAAUUGAAGCUUCGAGAGGUUGAAAUAAUCCCCAGAUUCCAGAGACAAAAAACCAAUCCUGAAAUAGAAUCGAAGAUUUCUGGGUCACCUUAAUGACUAGACCUAGUUUAUUCCCAGCUUCUCACUCGGGUGUUUCAUAAUGAUUUGCCUGUAAUGAGCUCUGAGCUACUUAGUCAUCGCCCGUGAAGAGGGGCAGUGUAGGUGGGCAUCCCCCACCCCCACCCGUGCCCGUCAGCAGGUGCAGUCAUCCUCUCGAUGGCAAGGGUGCCUCCCUGUUCCUGGGUUGUCAGAAGACUGAGCAGUUACUCACCCAGGCAUCGCAGGGAGCAGUCUGUGUGAAUGUGCUUCCCUGCACGUUUUAUAAAUAGACUGGGUCACUUCGUUGUACAGCAGAAAUGAUCACAACCUUGUGAAUGAACUGUGCUGAAAAAGAAGCUGCUUCAUCUGCUGAAGAAAGUGAAACCGUGCGCAUGGAGAACACACUCACUUCGUACGUCUGCCUAGGGUUCCUGUUAGAGUAGCAGCUUCAAGAAAUAGAAGGUCCGCCAGCAUAGAAGCAGGACCCCGCAGGAAGCUGAGACAGGCGUGGAAGCAGUCAUUCCUCAUCUCUCUUCCUGGGUCCCUGCCUUUGCCACCACGUCCCUCCACGGGGGGCGGGCUCUCCACGCUCUGGCUGAUGUCAGAGCCGUUCCUGAUGCUUCGCCAGUGGGAGCUUUCAGUGCACUUGAAGACUUGUUCCUUGCGACCUUGUUGAGUCAGACUCCAUGGGAAAUUACAAAACUGUAGCAGAGAGUGUAUCGAGUUUGUCUUACGGAGAAAGAAACCCGAGGAAUUUCUGGAACCUAGCCACUGUUCAGGACAGCGGGCACAGGCUUUGCCAUGUGACGUGUCUAUUCCUUCCCUCAGGGUGGUAGUCAGAAGUUCCGAGAGCCUGUGUGUCCUGCGGUUCUUGCUCUGCCCCAGGCGCUCUCUGAGCACAGUGGUUGUGCAGCACGUUCACCGCAGAUGCAGCAGUAGCUCCCACCUCCCCUCCCCCCGCAAACACGGGCAGAGCUUGGAUGCUGAAGGCUGGCCGCACGGCAGUGUCUAGAAUGCUCCUCAGGUCGCCGUCUCUUCGUCAAGGCCGUUGUCUUAGUCGUUUCCACCACCCCAGCUACAGGUGCAGAGGGAACCUGGUGCCCACUUUUUGCGGCUGCUUCGAAGCAGAGGAAGGGGCCAGUCCUGGCCCCAUUCCCCACCGUGCACAGGGGACCAAGGGUCACCAGUCUCCGUUUCCUUUGGCCUCCGGCUCAUUCAGGCACUGUUGUGGCUUCUCCUUUCACGCGAGUUAACCCCCCAGGUUGUCACCCUGAAGGCCUUCCGUGACCAGCCUGUCAAACUCUUGCACUUGAUCCAGUGGUGGGAAACUCUUGCACUUGAUCCAGUGGUGGGAAACUCUUGCACUUGAGCCAGUGGUGGGAAACUCUUGCACUUGAUCCAGUGGUGGGAAACUCUUGCACUUGAGCCAGUGGUGGGAAACUCUUGCACUUGAUCCAGUGGUGGGAAACUCUUGCACUUGAGCCAGUGGUGGGAAACUCUUGCACUUGAUCCAGUGUGGUGGGUGCUCUCCCUGAUGUUAAGAGGAGAAGCCCUUUAAUCCUGAGUCCUGCGCUUCCCACGUCUGGUAUCAGGGACCCGGGCUUUCCAGUGAGACGUCUUCUUUCCCUCCCUGGAAGGAGGCCAAGCGGCCCGGACACCCCAGUGCUGGAGCCACGGGCCUGUGGGGGCCCCUCUGAGAAGGAGGAUUGUCCCUGCGGAAUUCCUUUCUUUCUUGGCAGGAGCACUGAGUCCCGGUCACACGUUCCUCAGGUCCCUGCACUGGACCAGGAGGCUCUGAAGCCCUCAGGUAGGGUUUCUUAGCCCUGAAGUUUGACUCUUAAGUCACAAAAGAAAAACACCUCUCUGACGGAAAGGGAUUGUCUCCACUCAGCCCAUUAGAAUAACCAGCGUCCAGCCGUGUGCAAGAAAGUUCCAUCAACACCACAAGAUUCGUUUGAGGACGCUGGACCCCAGGCCCGUGCGGAAGGCAAGAUGCAGUCCAAGCUGUGGAGCGCUGGGCUUCCAGAACUCUGGGGGUCUUGGCCUCCUCAGCCAGCGGAGUGGCCUCCCCUCCCCCUGGCCUCCGUUUCCGUCUCUUCCCACCCUCCGCUCUGCGAGGGCCUUGGGCCGAGCCGCCGAGCAUCCCUCCUUUCCAGCAGCUGCACCUCUGGGCGGGCGCUGAGCCUCUGGGAGGCUGAGCCUCACGACAGGCUUGUGAGGGCAUCGGCCCGUUUCCCCAUCAGUGUCCCCAGGAACCUCUCAGACUAGAUCCCUCCAGCUCCUGAGAAUGUCACAUCCCCCAAACCCAUUCGGUUUCUUGCAGGUAACUCCCUGGGUGGAUUCCGCCGCCCGUGGCUAGAAGCAGUGACAGUAAAACGCCUCAUUCUGUUGGGGUCCGUGUGGCUGCCCUGCCCUCUAAGGCCUGUGAGAGGCACAGGGUGCCCCAGGCAACCUCUUACUGUGUGUUUCAUGAUGUUAGUCUCUCCAGGUAAGUGUUAUUUAUCCAUGUGGAAUAAAGAACCGGACCUGUAUCAGAAAACAGCGUCUCAGGAGUUCCCAUUGUGGCUUGAUGGAAAUGAAUCUGACCAGGAACCAUGAGGGUGUGGCUUGGAUCCCUGGCCUCGCUCAGUGGGUUAAGGAUCCGGUGUUACUGUGAGCUGUGGUAUAGGUGGCAGACGCAGCUCGGAUCCCACGUUGCUGUGGCUGUGGUGUAGACUGGCAACAAUAGCUCCCAUUAGACCCCUAGCCCAGGAACCUUCACAUGCCAUGGGUGCGGCCCUAAAAAGCAAAAAAAAAAAAAAAAAAAAA
Molecule: long non-coding RNA, 4663 nt
Filed under: Sus scrofa (pig)
Lineage: Eukaryota; Metazoa; Chordata; Mammalia; Artiodactyla; Suidae
Description: lncRNA (ENSSSCG00025067681.1)
Source: RNAcentral